GCCAACGAGCGCAACCCUUGCCUUUAGUUGCCAGCAGUUCGGCUGGGCACUCUAAAGGGACUGCCGGUGGUUAAACCGGAGGAAGGUGGGGAUGACGUCAAGUCCUCAUGGCCUUUAUGACCAGGGCUACACACGUACUACAAUGGCCGAUACAAAGGGCAGCGACACUGCGAGGUGAAGCCAAUCCCGUAAAAUCGGUCUCAGUCCGGAUUGGAGUCUGCAACUCGACUCCAUGAAGUUGGAAUCGCUAGUAAUCGUGGAUCAGCAUGCCACGGUGAAUACGUUCCCGGGCCUU
RNAcentral lists this ribosomal RNA (295 nucleotides) under uncultured Desulfobulbus sp. Its description in RNAcentral is "partial 16S ribosomal RNA". It matches the Rfam family "Bacterial small subunit ribosomal RNA", at positions 1088 to 1382 of the family's 1533-position model. Lineage: Bacteria; Pseudomonadati; Thermodesulfobacteriota; Desulfobulbia; Desulfobulbales; Desulfobulbaceae. The record is from RNAcentral.